AGAGAUGGCCAUGCCACCCUGAAUGUGCCUGAUCACAUCUGGUCUCAGAAGCUAGGCAGGGUUGCAUCUAGUUAAUAUUUAGCUGGAUGAUCACUUGGGAAUACAGAGUCCUGUA
Molecule: ribosomal RNA, 115 nt
Filed under: Procavia capensis (Cape rock hyrax)
Lineage: Eukaryota; Metazoa; Chordata; Mammalia; Hyracoidea; Procaviidae
Source: RNAcentral